UCCAGACGGAGUCUACCUGCGGUCGAAGUCGCCCUGCUGUUGAAGUCGAGGAUGAAGUCCGGCUCCCGUAGGAGUCCGGACGGUGUCUACCUGCAGUCGAAGUCACCCUGCUGUUGAAAUCGAGGAUGAAGUCCGGCUUCCGUAGGAGUCCAGACGGAGUCUACCUGCGGUCGAAGUCGCCCUGCUGUUGAAGUCGAGGACGAAGUCUGGCUCCCGUAGGAGUCCGGACGGAGUCUACCUGCAGUCGAAGUCGGGGACAAAAUUUGGCUUCCGUGGGAGUCCGGACGGAGUCUACUGCAGUCGAAGUCGGGGAUGAAGUCCGACUCCCGUGGAAGUCCGGAAGGAGUCUACCUGUGGUUGAAGUCGAGGACGAAGUCCGGCUCCUGUAGGAGUCUGGACGGAGUCUACCUGCAGUCGAAGUUGCCCUGCUAUUGAAGUCGAGGAUGAAGUCCGGCUCCCGUAGGAGUCGGACGGAGUCUACCUGC
RNAcentral lists this long non-coding RNA (485 nucleotides) under Elaeis guineensis (African oil palm). RNAcentral describes it as "long non-coding RNA (EGUI_LNC064817)". Lineage: Eukaryota; Viridiplantae; Streptophyta; Magnoliopsida; Arecales; Arecaceae. The record is from RNAcentral.